AACACUGUUAACCUGCGGUACCUGCGGAAGGAUCAUUACCGAGUGUGGUCCCAUAAGGGGCGCCUCCCGUCCUUUGCAGGGCCUUUAGGGGCUUUUUGACUUUGCUUCGGCGGGCUUGCCCCGCCGGAACACCCUCAAGAAAAUCUUUAUGAACCGUUUGUCUGAGUUGCUUGCGAAUAAAAACAAAACUUUUAACAAUGGAUCU
Molecule: unclassified non-coding RNA, 205 nt
Filed under: soil metagenome
Description: partial contains 5.8S ribosomal RNA, internal transcribed spacer 2, and large subunit ribosomal RNA
Source: RNAcentral